Gasterosteus aculeatus aculeatus (three-spined stickleback) is the source of this 3715-nucleotide long non-coding RNA. The record is from Ensembl. Lineage: Eukaryota; Metazoa; Chordata; Actinopteri; Perciformes; Gasterosteidae.
UAAUUACACAAUACAAACAAUGAGUGCAGGAUGUAAUUACACAAUAAGAACAAUGUGUGCAGACUGUAAUUACACAAUAAGAACAAUGUGUGCAGGCUGUAAUUACACAAUCUAAACAAGGUGCACAGACAAUAAUUACACAAUGAGAACAAGGCACUUAUAUGAAGUGUCAACCAUUUGCCACCAAACAUCUGCUUUGUUUCCCAGAGCUGCAGCCCAUAUGUACAAGUAUUGGCAACAAUAACCAUUAACGUGAUCAGUAGGAUCCAAGUAUUUCAUCGGUAUCUCAUCUCGACUGAGCCGCAGCGCUCAGCAGCAGUCCUAAAAAAUAUUAGUUUGUUUCUUUAUUCUCCUCUUUCUUUUUUGUCUGUCAUCAUUAAUAAUUCAUCUCUUUUCUUGGAUGCUAAAACAACAACAAACAGAACAACAGCUCAGAUAAUGUAUUCAGUCAAAAGCUCAUUGUGUAGGGGAGGAGGAAAGGGGACAGCGAAAAUGUGCACUGGAGUGAGACAAGAGAGCACCCCGACAGGGAGAGGCUCAAUGUCACUCCGCGGCGUCGCGGGAUGGAAGAAAAACAAACGCCAGAGGGGGAAAAAAAAAAGAGAAAGAGGAAGAUACAGUUUGUAAGUCAUAAAAGCCCAAUUAGAGGCAUUAGGGUCCUCAAAUGGAGGAUUACAAUGAAUCAUUUUCGGCUGCAUUUUUUUGGGGGGGGGGGCAGAUUGUGCCAUUAAUGUGGGUGACAAAAAAAAGAUUUAUUUUAGAGACGGGGUAGUAUGAAAAGCUCUUAAUGCUGGAAAGAGAACUAAACAGUAAUUCAAGGUUACAUGAAUAUGGUGCCGAAUCGGCACCCCGGGCCUCCAUUGACUCAGCUGCCUUACUUUAAAUCUCUUCACUCCCCCCCCGUCACCCCUUCAUUUGGAGUGGCUCGACCUUGGAUGUCUACGGUGUGAACCGGUGCCCCAGCUUUCACAUUACGCCAGAAAGGAUCCUGACUCAUUCAAUUUAAGCCCAUCAGGAAAGCACAAUACAAGGCAAAUUAGCUGCCAUUAUUUAGACACUUUCAUGACCCCAAUUUGAGGUCACAUGACAAUUAGUCACAUUUGUCGGCGCCGUCUUCAUGGUCGUCCCCAAUCUCUGCAACAUACGUGAGCCUCAUCAAGAGGAUUUUGAUAUUUAUGUAUUUAACCAGAUUAUUUAAUACUCAUUGUGGCACAUAAAGUCUGCUGCGUUUUCAGCCUUUUUCUUUAUUGAAAAAGAACAUACGGAACAAUUGAAUCAUUAUCUUCCAAGCGGCUCUGAAAAUCUAUUUUUCUAUUUCAUCUGCCGCAGCAUUCGAUUUCUGAGGAUUCAAACAAGGGCUCCGCCUAAAGGUUCAGCCAAGUCACAGUUUAAAUUAAAAGAGCUCUUUGCUAGACUAGCGUUGCACUCCUGUUUGUUCACGACUGAUGGUUUUGGAUAAAAUAUCGACGAUGAGCAGCCAGUUAUUAUGUCUUUGUUCUUCCACACUUCCUUCCUGUUUGUUGCAACCCGGUGCUCGCGUUACCCACAAUGCCACAGGACCGUUCCGCGCUUAGCCGGAGAUUUGGCUGCGUUUUGCAAGCUAGCAUAGCGUAGCCUCGCCCCGUUAGCCUCCGGCCCGGAAGACAGAGGUUUGAUGAGCUCACAAAUCAUACUUUAAGAAAGCGAGACUACACAAAAAUAUGCCAUGAACCCUGCAGGUUAACGCAACUGAUUCUCUCCCUGGGAUUUACUCUGUGGUUUAUACUUAUAUAUAAGUAUAUACUUAUAGCUUCAGAUGGAAGUACAAAAUAAAAGCUCAUCCGUAGUUUAUUAUUUUCUUCAUUAAAACAAGAGAGAGAAGCUUUAAUUCCAGAGAGAGAAGAUAAAAUACUGAACCUGGAAGCUGAAAAACCUGAACUUGGUCCUCCGUCCGUCGUCCUCGUCCUCUUCCUUCCAAAGAGAAGAACCCGGUCAAGACGGCGCUAUUAACAGCUGUUCGCGCCACCUUGCCGGUCUGGCUCUUUAUUGAGCCUGAAGGUAGCUGUAACCCGGCGCCCGUCACACUUUGUGGUAAACAAACAAAUGAACCCUGAGCACAGCAGGAAUCUGCUGCUUGUUUGUUUUGUUGUUGUUGCGUGUGGCGAAUCGCAAUCGUGCAGACGGGAUACGCGGACGGUAACGCCACUCUGUCCGCGCCAAGAAGCCGCAAACAGAAGGUUUACAAAGUGGCCCCGGGCCGGAGGUGAUUGGGCACAGGUGAACUCUCAAUGCAUAAGCUGUGUUGGUGAGAGGAAGCCUCAACCAUAACCGUUGGUCCUUCUUGUCUUCAUCUACCUUUGUACUCGAGAAAAUACACAAUGAAAUCAGGUACAAAAGGAAAUAAGUGCUUGCUGGUAGCCACCAAAAAGGAAAAUCUUCAUCAUGAGCUCUUUUUGUCAGUGAAAAGAGAUGUUUCCCAACCUAUCGAGUAAUACAUUUUAUAAUCAUAUAUUUGAGCAUAUUUAAUAAUAACACCUGAACGUGUGUGUGUUUGAGAAGCACUCGUACGACGUGGCUGCUUUUUCUCGUCCUCACAAUCUAUUUUCAAGGCAAUAACCAAAGUUGCUUGUUGAAGAAAGUAUUUCAAAUAUACUUUUAAUUGUAUGUUUUUUGGAUAUUGCAGAGGGGGAAAAAAAGCGCCACAUACCUGGCUCCAUCCAUCUAAUAUGAAUUCAUAGUGUGAUACCUGGAGUUUAUUAAUUCAGGGCCACAGAGACAGCUGAAUAAUGAAAUUUAAUGAAAAUUUUAGAUGGACUAAAAGUCAGACUGCUUCGGUCAUUAAUUUUAAAAGCACACAUACCGUCAGUCGCACGGUAAUGAUAAAUUCCUACAUUGGGCUUCAUGCCAUGAAGUUUAGUAACUAUACUGCCUAGAAAGGACUCCAGUGGAAUCCAAGGUCCCAGGAUAUGAAAUAGAUUUCCAGAAAAUUAGCACAAUUUGAAAAUAGUUUACUUUAAAGUUGAAGUAGGGACUGAAGGAAAAGGUUUUUUUUGUUUGGGGAAAUAACAGAUUAUUAAAAACAAAUCAAGGACCUCUAUAACUUUAUUAAAACAUUUCAAAUGACACUUUGUUUUUCUUUAAAAGGGCAAAAGGAGUAUGCAUCCCCUUCCAAAGUAAUAUCUCAUUAUGCUGCGUUGGACAGGUUGUCCUUCAUAACAGUUUGCAGGAAGAAUUUAACAUGUGUAACCUAUAAAAAUAUGUAUGAUUGAUAAGAAUAUAAUGUUUUUCUGCGGUCUGUUGAUUCUUUUAGCACAUGUGGCCAUUGUAGGUAAAAAAUAAUGUCUUAUAUUACGAGAAAAAGUAUAAAUUCCUAAUUCUACAUUUUUGCCAUUUAAAGUACAAUAUAUUGUUUCCCAGCUGUCUGGUUAUUAUUUUCUUUUUUAAAGUUGACAUUCGGACGAUAUGUAUAUAUGAUAUAAAAAUAGUGUGGACAUACAGUACCUAUUCCUUUUUUCUAACCCCAUAUCAUUUUUGUACUGUCCCUUAUGUGGACUUACUAAUUGGUGAUGUAUUCUUGCAUGUUACUUUUUGAAUUGUUACUAUUAAAUAAAUCCUAUUUUCAGAUGAACUGACAUGUAUCCAAAGUUGAACUGGCUGAUUGCGUACAAGCAGAGUCUGAUGGCACCACUACGGAGGACAAACUGGCCCACGCAUUACGUUCCUCUGAAGACAAAAG